UCCCUGGCAGUCCAGUGGUUAAGACUCUGCGUUUUCACUGCAGGGGGCACAGGUUCAAUUCCUGGUCAGUGAA
RNAcentral lists this transfer RNA (73 nucleotides) under Bos taurus (domestic cattle). It matches the Rfam family "tRNA". Rfam says of the family: Transfer RNA (tRNA) molecules are approximately 80 nucleotides in length. RNAcentral also lists the same sequence under 3 other names. Lineage: Eukaryota; Metazoa; Chordata; Mammalia; Artiodactyla; Bovidae. The record is from Rfam by way of RNAcentral.